AAGGGAAGCACCCUGUAGAGGAGGGAGUGGUCCCUGGCUAGGGCUCCACCCCCAUGGACCUAGGUGAGGACAGGCACUUCUGCCUUCCUUCCCAAGGGUUGCAUUUUUCAAGACUACCCUGGCCAGCCACGCUCCUAUCCUGGGCCUAUAGAAACCCGAGACCCUAGCAAGGCAGAGACAGAAGCUGCUGGCCCGCCAGAGGAACACAUAGAUGGAAGAAGACAAGCAGCUGGACAUGGAGAAGACAUUGGGAGCACACUAGGGGAAGAGCACACAGACAAACGCCAGCAUGCUGACAGGGUCUCAUUCCAUCACCUAGGCUGGAGUGCAGUGGCCCCAUCUCGGCUCAUUGCAUCCUCUGCCUCCCAGGUUCAAGUGAUUCCUAUUCCUUUCAAGUGAUUCUCCUGAGGAACUAGAAUUACAGGUGUGUAGUCACCACGUCUGGUUAAUUUGUGUGUGUGUGUGUGUUUUGUUUUGUUUUUAGUAGAGAUGAGGUUGCACCAUGUUGGCCAGGCACCAGCCUCAAACUCCUGGACUCAAGUAAUCCACUGGCGUUCGUCUUCCCUGAGUACUGGGAUUGCAGGUGUGAGCUACUGCGCCCGACCUCAGCAAGCAUUUUUGAACUGUCAUGUAUUGAGCUUAGCAUUUACUAUGCAAUAUAAUAUAUAUUAUAUAAUAUAUUAUAUACAAUUCUAUAUUUUAUAUAGAAUUAUAAUAUAUAAUAUAUAUAGUGCAGUGAAUAUAUCUAUAUCUAUCUAUAUAUAUCUAUAUAUCUAUAUCUAUAUCUAUAUAUAUAUAUAAAACUGAGAGUAGCCAAAGACUGGCCAGAUGAGUCUUCCUGAGUUGGUAUUGCAGAUGAAGGUUUUGUAUGAUUUUAAAAUAUCAUUAUUAUUUAGUUUCUAGGACUGUCUUGGCUGAUACUGACUUAGCAAUAGAAAUAAUAAUAGUGCCAAACAACGCAAUCUAAAUAUAUUUAGUUUAAUAAUAUUACCUAAGUGUGCUUUUUUGUCAUUUUAAUUGAGAUGAAAUUACAAAUAUCAAUACAUUUUUAAUUACUAUAUAUUUGUUUUUAGUUCUAGAAUUCAAAAAUUAUGAAAAGCCUAUUCACUUCUGAUUCAAUAUUGGUAAUUUAUUAUUAUCAUCAUUUUUUAGAGAUAGGAUCUUGCUCUGUUGCUCAGGCUGGAGUAUAAUGGUACAAUCAUUGUUCACUGCAGCCUCGAAUUCCUAGACUCAGGCAAUGCUCCAAUCUUAGUCUCCCAAAGUGCUGGAAUUACAG
RNAcentral lists this long non-coding RNA (1276 nucleotides) under Homo sapiens (human). Its description in RNAcentral is "HSALNT0203078". The record is from RNAcentral. Lineage: Eukaryota; Metazoa; Chordata; Mammalia; Primates; Hominidae.